RNAcentral lists this ribosomal RNA (244 nucleotides) under uncultured bacterium. Its description in RNAcentral is "partial 16S ribosomal RNA". It matches the Rfam family "Bacterial small subunit ribosomal RNA", at positions 524 to 767 of the family's 1533-position model. The record is from RNAcentral.
UACGGAGGGUGCAAGCGUUAUCCGGAUUCACUGGGUUUAAAGGGUGCGUAGGUGGGUUGGUAAGUCAGUGGUGAAAUCUCCGUGCUUAACAUGGAAAUUGCCAUUGAUACUACUGGUCUUGAAUUUUCUGGAGGUAAGCGGAAUAUGUCAUGUAGCGGUGAAAUGCUUAGAUAUGACAUAGAACACCGAUUGCGAAGGCAGCUUACUACAGGGACAUUGACACUGAGGCACGAAAGCGUGGGGA